UACGUAGGGACCAAGCGUUGUUCGGAUUUACUGGGCGUAAAGGGCGCGUAGGCGGCAAUUCAAGUCAGCUGUGAAAUCUCCGGGCUUAACUCGGAACGGUCAGAUGAUACUGCUUUGCUAGAGUGCGGAAGGGGCAAUCAGAAUUCUUGGUGUAGCGGUGAAAUGCGUAGAUAUCAAGAGGAACACCUGAGGUGAAGACGGGUUGCUGGGCCGACACUGACGCUGAGUGCGCGAAAGCCAGGGGAGCAAGCGGG
This 254-nucleotide ribosomal RNA is filed under the name uncultured bacterium. RNAcentral's name for it is "partial 16S ribosomal RNA". It matches the Rfam family "Bacterial small subunit ribosomal RNA", at positions 524 to 776 of the family's 1533-position model. The record is from RNAcentral.